Molecule: ribosomal RNA, 465 nt
Filed under: uncultured bacterium
Lineage: Bacteria
Description: partial 16S ribosomal RNA
Rfam family: Bacterial small subunit ribosomal RNA
Source: RNAcentral
GAUGAACGCUGGCGGCGUGCUUAACACAUGCAAGUCGAACGAUGAAGCCCAGCUUGCUGGGUGGAUUAGUGGCGAACGGGUGAGUAACACGUGAGUAACCUGCCCUUAACUCUGGGAUAAGCCUGGGAAACUGGGUCUAAUACCGGAUAGGAGCGUCCACCGCAUGGUGGGUGUUGGAAAGAUUUAUCGGUUUUGGAUGGACUCGCGGCCUAUCAGCUUGUUGGUGAGGUAAUGGCUCACCAAGGCGACGACGGGUAGCCGGCCUGAGAGGGUGACCGGCCACACGGGAAAGGGAACACGGCCCAGCCCCCACGGGGGGGAAGCAGGGGGGAAAAUUGCAAAAGGGGGGCAAGCCUGAGGCGGCGAGCCCGGGGGGGGGAGGAGGGCCUCGGGGUUGAAAACCUUUUUCGGUGGGGAAGAAGGGAAAGGGACGGUACCUGCAGAAGAAGCACCGGCUAACUACGU